This 341-nucleotide ribosomal RNA is filed under the name uncultured eukaryote. RNAcentral's name for it is "SSU rRNA". It matches the Rfam family "Eukaryotic small subunit ribosomal RNA", at positions 594 to 939 of the family's 1831-position model. The record is from RNAcentral.
AUAGCGUAUAUUAAAGUUGUUGUGGUUAAAAAGCUCGUAGUUGGAUCUCAGUUCAAGUCAGGCGGUCCACUUGCCAGUGGCUACUGCUUGACUGAACACUUUAUCGAGUUGUCCUAUGGUGCUCUUCACCGAGUGUCAUAGGCGAUCGGUACGUUUACUUUGAAAAAAUUAGAGUGCUCAAAGCAGGCGUAACGCCCGAAUAAUGUUGCAUGGAAUAAUGGAAUAGGACCUCGGUUCUAUUUUGUUGGUCUUCGGAAUCUGAUGUAAUGAUUAAGAGGGACAGACGGGGGCAUUCGUAUUGCGGCGCUAGAGGUGAAAUUCUUGGACCGUUGAAAGACGAA